Molecule: unclassified non-coding RNA, 151 nt
Filed under: uncultured Toxicocladosporium
Lineage: Eukaryota; Fungi; Ascomycota; Dothideomycetes; Capnodiales
Description: sequence contains ITS2
Source: RNAcentral
CACCACUCAAGCCUCGCUUGGUAUUGGGCGACGCGGUCCGCCGCGCGCCUUAAAUCGACCGGCUGGGUCGAUCGCACCCUCAGCGUUGUGGAAACUAUUCGCUAAAGGUACUGCGGUCGGUCACGCCGUGAAAACAAACCAAUUUUUCAAU